Molecule: transfer RNA, 69 nt
Filed under: Pedetontus zhejiangensis
Lineage: Eukaryota; Metazoa; Arthropoda; Insecta; Archaeognatha; Machilidae
Description: tRNA-Arg
Source: RNAcentral
AAGUGUGAAGCAAUAAUUUGCAAUUAGUUUCGACCUAAUAAUAAGGUAUACUAUUAUACCCUCCUUAUU